This 1372-nucleotide ribosomal RNA is filed under the name uncultured bacterium. RNAcentral's name for it is "bacterial SSU rRNA". It matches the Rfam family "Bacterial small subunit ribosomal RNA", at positions 28 to 1381 of the family's 1533-position model. The record is from RNAcentral.
GAUGAACGCUGGCGGCGUGCCUAAUACAUGCAAGUCGAGCGAACGGACGAGAAGCUUGCUUCUCUGAUGUUAGCGGCGGACGGGUGAGUAACACGUGGAUAACCUACCUAUAAGACUGGGAUAACUUCGGGAAACCGGAGCUAAUACCGGAUAAUAUUUUGAACCGCAUGGUUCAAAAGUGAAAGACGGUCUUGCUGUCACUUAUAGAUGGAUCCGCGCUGCAUUAGCUAGUUGGUAAGGUAACGGCUUACCAAGGCAACGAUGCAUAGCCGACCUGAGAGGGUGACCGGCCACACUGGAACUGAGACACGGUCCAGACUCCUACGGGAGGCAGCAGUAGGGAGUCUUCCGCAAUGGGCGAAAGCCUGACGGAGCAACGCCGCGUGAGUGAUGAAGGUCUUCGGAUCGUAAAACUCUGUUAUUAGGGAAGAACAUAUGUGUAAGUAACUGUGCACAUCUUGACGGUACCUAAUCAGAAAGCCACGGCUAACUACGUGCCAGCAGCCGCGGUAAUACGUAGGUGGCAAGCGUUAUCCGGAAUUAUUGGGCGUAAAGCGCGCGUAGGCGGUUUUUUAAGUCUGAUGUGAAAGCCCACGGCUCAACCGUGGAGGGUCAUUGGAAACUGGAAAACUUGAGUGCAGAAGAGGAAAGUGGAAUUCCAUGUGUAGCGGUGAAAUGCGCAGAGAUAUGGAGGAACACCAGUGGCGAAGGCGACUUUCUGGUCUGUAACUGACGCUGAUGUGCGAAAGCGUGGGGAUCAAACAGGAUUAGAUACCCUGGUAGUCCACGCCGUAAACGAUGAGUGCUAAGUGUUAGGGGGUUUCCGCCCCUUAGUGCUGCAGCUAACGCAUUAAGCACUCCGCCUGGGGAGUACGACCGCAAGGUUGAAACUCAAAGGAAUUGACGGGGACCCGCACAAGCGGUGGAGCAUGUGGUUUAAUUCGAAGCAACGCGAAGAACCUUACCAAAUCUUGACAUCCUUUGACAACUCUAGAGAUAGAGCCUUCCCCUUCGGGGGACAAAGUGACAGGUGGUGCAUGGUUGUCGUCAGCUCGUGUCGUGAGAUGUUGGGUUAAGUCCCGCAACGAGCGCAACCCUUAAGCUUAGUUGCCAUCAUUAAGUUGGGCACUCUAAGUUGACUGCCGGUGACAAACCGGAGGAAGGUGGGGAUGACGUCAAAUCAUCAUGCCCCUUAUGAUUUGGGCUACACACGUGCUACAAUGGACAAUACAAAGGGCAGCGAAACCGCGAGGUCAAGCAAAUCCCAUAAAGUUGUUCUCAGUUCGGAUUGUAGUCUGCAACUCGACUACAUGAAGCUGGAAUCGCUAGUAAUCGUAGAUCAGCAUGCUACGGUGAAUACGUUCCCGGGUCU